GUACCUAUUUCAGCGGCACAUGUUCCAAAACUGGAACUAUCGAGAUAGUCAUGGCCCCUGUGCAGAGAUGACACACAAACUCAUUAAUCAUUCCAUAUUUUU
Small nuclear RNA from Fukomys damarensis (Damara mole-rat), 102 nucleotides. The record is from Ensembl. NCBI's taxonomy places the organism in Eukaryota, Metazoa, Chordata, Mammalia, Rodentia, Bathyergidae.